CCUACGUGCGGCAGCAGUGGGGAAUAUUGGACAAUGGGCGAAAGCCUGAUCCAGCCAUGCCGCGUGUGUGAAGAAGGCCUUCGGGUUGUAAAGCACUUUCAGUGGGGAAGAAAGCCUUGGGGCUAAUACCCUCGAGGAAGGACAUCACCCACAGAAGAAGCACCGGCUAACUCCGUGCCAGCAGCCGCGGUAAUACGGAGGGUGCGAGCGUUAAUCGGAAUUACUGGGCGUAAAGCGCGCGUAGGCGGUCUGAUAAGCCGGUUGUGAAAGCCCCGGGCUCAACCUGGGAACGGCAUCCGGAACUGUCAGGCUAGAGUGCAGGAGAGGAAGGUAGAAUUCCCGGUGUAGCGGUGAAAUGCGUAGAGAUCGGGAGGAAUACCAGUGGCGAAGGCGGCCUUCUGGACUGACACUGACGCUGAGGUGCGAAAGCGUGGGUAGCAAACAGGAUUAGAUACCCCAGUCGUC
This 465-nucleotide ribosomal RNA is filed under the name Vreelandella stevensii. RNAcentral's name for it is "partial 16S ribosomal RNA". It matches the Rfam family "Bacterial small subunit ribosomal RNA", at positions 338 to 795 of the family's 1533-position model. Lineage: Bacteria; Pseudomonadati; Pseudomonadota; Gammaproteobacteria; Oceanospirillales; Halomonadaceae. The record is from RNAcentral.